UGGGGAAUCUUGCACAAUGGGGGCAACCCUGAUGCAGCGACGCCGCGUGAUCGAUGAAGCCCUUCGGGGCGUAAAGCUCUUUCGACCGGAACGAUAAUGACGGUACCGGGAGAAGAAGCUGCGGCUAACUACGUGCCAGCAGCCGCGGUAAUACGUAGGCAGCAAGCGUUGUUCGGAGUUACUGGGCGUAAAGAGUGCGUAGGCGGUUUUCUAAGUUCGGUGUGAAAUCUCCCGGCUUAACUGGGAGGGUGCGCCGAAGACUGGGAAGCUGGAGUGUGGGAAAGGCAGGCGGAAUUCCUGGUGUAGCGGUGAAAUGCGUAGAUAUCAGGAGGAACACCGGCGGUGUAGACGGCUUGCUAAACCAUAACUGACGCUGAGGCACGAAAGCGUGGGUAGCAAACA
Molecule: ribosomal RNA, 402 nt
Filed under: uncultured bacterium
Lineage: Bacteria
Description: bacterial SSU rRNA
Rfam family: Bacterial small subunit ribosomal RNA
Source: RNAcentral